ACCGAGAUGUGUGCUUAAGAGGGUGGCUGUGACUGGUGCAGAAUCCCCAAGUGUAAUUCUUCUCUAAUCUCUGAAAAGCCUUAGUGAAGUAAUUAGGACAUUAACUAGUCUUUUCAGCUGUUUCUGAAUAUCUUCAGCUCAACCUCUAUCUAUUUAACAAAGUUUUGAUACUUGGAGCACUGUCAUUUCUUUGACAAGAUGUAUCUACUUCGGACUCUUGGGAGUGAGUGUUAAGAACUCAGAGCAUGUCCAGGCUCCCAGAAAAGCUUUCCUUCCUUCCAAACUGGUCUCAGAUGGACAGGUCUCCACUUCCAGAAAAAUCAGCCUUGACCUCCACGUAGCUGUGCAGAACCUCACCAGCAGGGAGUGACGUGCAAGGCCAGGGGAUUGAGGCUGGUGAGGCAGGAGGAGAGCUGAGAAUCACAGGAGCUGGGCAGCCCCGGAGCUGAGGGCGGGAGGAGGAGGAAAAGGAGGAGGAGGAGGAGGAAGGCAGCUGCUUGCCUGCCCUCCUCGCAGCCUGCAGAGCUGCUGGCCACCGGUGUCUGAAUGUCCAGGAGCAAGGCCACCCUCUGGACAUGGCUGGGCUGCCCUGGGCUGCUGGGCUGCUUCUUGCUGGGCUUUCUUGCAGGAUGGUUUACAAAACCGACCGAGAAAACGCCCAACUCUUCAGAUGUCUAUCAAAAUGUGAGACAGAAACUUGUGGCUGAAAUGAAAGCAGAAAACAUCAAGCAAUUCCUUCGCUCGUUUACCAAGUUGCCUCACCUCGCAGGAACUGAACAGAAUCUUCUUCUUGCCAAACAAAUUCAAGGCCAGUGGAAGGAAUUUGGACUGGAUUCAGCAGAACUUGUUCAUUAUGAUGUGCUUCUUUCGUACCCAAAUGAAAAGCAGCCAAACUACAUCUCAGUAAUUGAUGAGCAGGGGAAUGAGAUUUUCAAUACCUCGUUGUUUGAACCACCUCCACAGGGGUAUGAAAAUGUCACUGAUAUACUGCCACCAUAUAAUGCUUUUUCAGCACAAGGAGUGCCAGAGGCAGAUCUGGUAUAUGUGAAUUAUGGCCGCACUGAAGAUUUUUUUAAGCUGGAGCGUGAAAUGGGAAUUAACUGUACAGGAAAGAUUGUCAUUGCCAGAUACGGGAAGAUCUUCAGAGGAAACAAAGUUAAAAAUGCCGUAUUAGCAGGAGCCCAAGGGAUCAUACUUUAUUCAGAUCCUGCUGACUACUGCGCCCCAGGAGUAGAUCCCUAUCCAAACGGCUGGAACCUUCCAGGUGGAGGAGCCCAGCGUGGGAACGUCUUAAACCUGAAUGGAGCUGGGGAUCCUCUGACACCAGGUUAUCCUGCAAAAGAGUACACUUUCAGGCAUAAAGUUAAUGAAGGUGUAGGGAUUCCCAAAAUCCCAGUUCAUCCCAUUGGAUAUCAUGAUGCAGAAGUACUAUUACGUGCAAUGGGAGGAUCUGCAGCUCCAGACAGCAGCUGGAAGGGAAGUCUCAAUGUGUCUUAUAACAUAGGGCCAGGAUUUGCAGACAGCUCUUCUACAAGAAAAGUCAGAAUGCAUGUUCAUACAAACAAUAAAAUAACACGAAUUUACAACGUCAUUGGCAUCCUCAGAGGAGCUGUGGAACCAGACAGAUACAUUAUUUUAGGAGGGCAUAGAGACUCCUGGGUGUUUGGUGGUAUCGAUCCAACUACAGGUGCAGCUGUUCUGCAAGAGGUUGUACGGAGUUUUGGUAAAAUGAAGAUGGAAGGUUGGAGACCUAAGCGAACUAUUAUUUUUGCUAGUUGGGAUGCAGAAGAAUUUGGAUUGUUGGGUUCCACAGAAUGGGCUGAGGAAAAUGCCAGAAUCCUGCAGGAACGGGCAGUUGCUUACAUCAACACAGAUUCCUCUAUAGAAGGUAACUACACAUUAAGAGUUGACUGCACCCCUCUUCUCUACAAACUGGUAUACGAUCUGACAAAAGAGAUUUUAAGCCCUGAUGAGGGUUAUGAAAAUAAGUCUCUUUAUGACAAUUGGCUUGAGAAAGAUCCUGCAACUGAAAAUAAUAGCUAUCCCAGAAUAAACAAACUGGGAUCAGGCAGUGAUUUUGAAGCUUACUUCCAGCGACUGGGAAUUGCAUCAGGCAGAGUCCGUUAUACCAAGAACAGGAAAGCAGACAAAUUCAGCAAUUAUCCUGUUUAUCACACUGUGUAUGAGACCUUUGAGUUAGUGGAAAAGUUUUAUGACCCCACCUUCAAGAAACAGCUUACAAUUGCCCAGUUACGAGGCAAACUGGUUUAUGAACUGGCAGAUUCCCAGGUCAUUCCAUUUGACUGUAGAGAUUAUGGAGAAGCCUUAAAAGGAUAUAGCAAUAGCAUAUAUAAAUUGGCCAAGAAACAUGAAGAACAGCUGAAAACGUACAAAGUAUCAUUUGAUCCUCUUUUUUCCGCUGUGGUGAACUUCUCAAAGGCUGCUGCUGAAUUUCACAGGAGACUUGAACAAGUAGACAAGAAAGAGAGAGGAAGAGUGUUUAAAUGAAACUGUAAAGACAUGUUUCCUCAUUGUGUGAAAUGUGUCUUGUCUCCAUUUCCUGCAGUCCAGUCGCGGUGCGAAUCAUGAACGAUCAGCUGAUGUUUGUAGAAAGAGCAUUCAUUGAUCCUCUUGGCUUACCAGGAAGGAAGUUUUACAGACAUGUCAUCUUUGCUCCAAGCAGCCACAACAAGUACGCUGGGGAGUCCUUCCCGGGGAUCUACGAUGCCAUGUUUGAUAUUGACAGCAAAGCAGAUCAGCACGGAGCCUGGGAAGAAGUAAAGAGGCAGAUUUCCAUCGCAGCCUUCACUGUGCAGGCAGCAGCAGGGACGCUGGAAGAGGUAGCGUAGGAUGAUGGCCUCGAAAAGCUCAGUCAGACAGCAAAGCCUGAAAUGCACUGUGGUCAGGCUACGAAAGCCACCCAGUCUCUCCUGCCUGCCUGCCCCUCUGAGCUUCCAACCCUCUGAACCCGUGGAAGCGCACAGGUAGGGUGAGCAGGAGCUCUGCAUAUCAAAGAACUCCUGAGCUAGAAAUUACUGCUUCUCUGAGAGUGACAAAACCAUAGCUUUAAGAACAGCCCUAGAUGGAAGCUAAUUAGGGGGUGGGGAAAAGGAAGAAUCAGUUCCCAAUUAGAGUUUUCUGAAAGAUCUGCCAGUUUUGGGGACCUGUUAUUUUGAAUGUCCAAUUACAAACGCAGUCAUUUGCCAAGAUACCUGUAAAUCUCAUCCGUAGAAGUGAUCAACUGCAUGCACUUCAUGAGCAAAUUUGUAAGACUCCUCAGCACAUGCAUUUUUCUUGUUCUGAUAAUUACUUUUAUAAUAUAUGACACUAAAGGCAUCUCUGAAUUUUAUAAUCUAUUCUGCAGGACCAGUGAGUGCUCAUUAUACUGAUUUGCUUUCUUUCCUGAAAAAAUAAAAUCCUCUUCCUCCUGCAGAUUGACAAAGCAAUACCUGCCAUUCUUGAUAAUCAGAGAAAACAGCUGCUUUUAUGCAGAAAUCCAACAGCAUUUUCUUGGCAAGUGAGUGUCCAUCCCUCUGAAAGACAGUGUGCAUCUCCCUCCUCUAUUUGCACUUUUUGGAAUAUGCAGACUGGAGAGGAAGGGGGGGAUAACUAAAAAGCUGACCUCCAUGCUUGUUUUGGCACUUUCACUCAUCCCAAACCCAUGGCAGUUUUUGUUCCUGGUUUUUCCUGGGAGAUUUCUUUCAUGCAAAUGUCUUCUUCCCAGUUGAGGCAGCUGGAGGACGCUGUCACUAUUGGCCUGGGCCUUGAGGUUAUUCUGUCCUCAAACAAGACCUGAAGAAAGCUUUCCAUCAGGACCUGCUUUUACAAAGAGAAACUGAAAUGCAUGAGAAUGCUAAUUGUACAAAAAUGUUUAAUUUGUAAAAAAAAAAAGAUUCUUGCUUCAUUUGCCCUUCAUAUGUACUUCUAAUCUACGUGCUUUAUAACUAAUAAAAUUGCCAGAAUUUUCUUAAA
Molecule: RNA transcript, 3972 nt
Organism: Calidris pugnax (ruff)
Lineage: Eukaryota; Metazoa; Chordata; Aves; Charadriiformes; Scolopacidae
Gene name: N-acetylated-alpha-linked acidic dipeptidase 2-like
Exons: 20
Source: RefSeq, a predicted model, not a curated record